AAGACCUAGCAAUAGGUAUGCUUAGGGAGGAGCUUGCGUCACAUUAGUUAGUUGGUGGGGUAAAGGCCUACCAAGACUAUGAUGUGUAGCCGGGCUGAGAGGUUGAACGGCCACAUUGGGACUGAGACACGGCCCAAACUCCUACGGGAGGCAGCAGUAGGGAAUUUUCGGCAAUGGAGGAAACUCUGACCGAGCAACGCCGCGUGAACGAUGAAGUAUUUCGGUACGUAAAGUUCUUUUAUUAGGGAAGAAUAAAUGAUGGAAAAAUCAUUCUGACGGUACCUAAUGAAUAAGCCCCGGCUAACUAUGUGCCAGCAGCCGCGGUAAUACAUAGGGGGCAAGCGUUAUCCGGAAUUAUUGGGCGUAAAGGGUGCGUAGGCGGUUAAAUAAGUUUAUGGUCUAAGUGCAAUGCUCAACAUUGUGAUGCUAUAAAAACUGUUUAGCUAGAGUAAGAUAGAGGCAAGUGGAAUUCCAUGUGUAGUGGUAAAAUGCGUAAAUAUAUGGAGGAACACCAGUAGCGAAGGCGGCUUGCUGGGUCUUUACUGACGCUGAGGCACGAAAGCGUGGGGAGCAAACAGGAUUAGAUACCCUGGUAGUCCACGCCGUAAACGAUGAGUACUAAACGUUGGGUAAAACCAGUGUUGAAGUUAACACAUUAAGUACUCCGCCUGAGUAGUACGUACGCAAGUAUGAAACUUAAAGGAAUUGACGGGACUCCGCACAAGCGGUGGAUCAUGUUGUUUAAUUCGAAGGUACCCGAAAAACCUCACCAGGUCUUGACAUGCUUCUGCAAAGCUGUAGAAACACAGUGGAGGUUAUCAGUUGCACAGGUGGUGCAUGGUUGUCGUCAGCUCGUGUCGUGAGAUGUUGGGUUAAGUCCCGCAACGAGCGCAACCCUUAUUGUUAGUUACCAGCACGUAAUGGUGGGGACUUUAGCAAGACUGCCAGUGAUAAAUUGGAGGAAGGUGGGGACGACGUCAAAUCAUCAUGCCCCUUAUGACCUGGGCUACAAACGUGAUACAAUGGCUGUUACAAAGGGUAGCUGAAGCGCAAGUUUUUGGCGAAUCUCAAAAAAACAGUCUCAGUUCGGAUUGAAGUCUGCAACUCGACUUCAUGAAGUUGGAAUCGCUAGUAAUCGCGAAUCAGCAUGUC
This 1152-nucleotide ribosomal RNA is filed under the name 'Prunus avium' phytoplasma. RNAcentral describes it as "bacterial SSU rRNA". It matches the Rfam family "Bacterial small subunit ribosomal RNA", at positions 198 to 1358 of the family's 1533-position model. Lineage: Bacteria; Bacillati; Mycoplasmatota; Mollicutes; Acholeplasmatales; Acholeplasmataceae. The record is from RNAcentral.